This 93-nucleotide non-coding RNA is filed under the name Streptomyces pluripotens. Its description in RNAcentral is "Streptomyces RNA 3202". It matches the Rfam family "Streptomyces RNA 3202". From Rfam's summary of the family: Identified by deep sequencing of transcriptome at the end of exponential growth phase. Appears smaller on northern blot than sequencing transcript. Lineage: Bacteria; Bacillati; Actinomycetota; Actinomycetes; Kitasatosporales; Streptomycetaceae. The record is from Rfam by way of RNAcentral.
CCAGGUCCCGACGCACAUCCCCCCCCGGCGGCGGGACCUUCCGGAGCCGGGCUCCGGCGCCUACCCCCCCAGGCGCCGGGGCCCGGCUUUCCU